GAUGAAGAACGCAGCGAAAUGCGAUAAGUAAUGUGAAUUGCAGAGUUCAGUGAAUCAUCGAAUCUUUGAACGCACAUUGCGCCCCUUGGUAUCCCGAGGGGCAUGCCUGUUCGAGCGUCAUUUCACCACUCAAGCCUGGCUUGGUGUUGGGCGACGUCCCCUUUGGGGACGCGCCUCGAAACGCUCGGCGGCGUGGCACCGGCUUUAAGCGUAGCAGAAUCUUUCGCUUUGGAAGUCGGGGCCCCGUCUGCCGGAAGACCUACUCGCAAGGUUGACCUCGGAUCAGGCAGGGAUACCCGCUGAACUUAAGCAUAUCAAUAAGCGGAGGA
Molecule: unclassified non-coding RNA, 329 nt
Filed under: soil metagenome
Description: partial contains 5.8S ribosomal RNA, internal transcribed spacer 2, and large subunit ribosomal RNA
Rfam family: 5.8S ribosomal RNA (bases 1-120)
Source: RNAcentral